Molecule: ribosomal RNA, 807 nt
Filed under: Shewanella algae
Lineage: Bacteria; Pseudomonadati; Pseudomonadota; Gammaproteobacteria; Alteromonadales; Shewanellaceae
Description: bacterial SSU rRNA
Rfam family: Bacterial small subunit ribosomal RNA
Source: RNAcentral
CGGCCCGUAGCGGUCGCCUAUAGAUGCAGUCGAGCGGUAACAUUUCAAAGCUUGCUUUUGAAGAUGACGAGCGGCGGACGGGUGAGUAAUGCCUGGGAAUUUGCCCAUUUGUGGGGGAUAACAGUUGGAAACGACUGCUAAUACCGCAAACGCCCUACGGGGGAAAGCAGGGGACCUUCGGGCCUUGCGCUGAUGGAUAAGCCCAGGUGGGAUUAGCUAGUAGGUGAGGUAAAGGCUCACCUAGGCGACGAUCCCUAGCUGGUCUGAGAGGAUGAUCAGCCACACUGGGACUGAGACACGGCCCACACUCCUACGGGAGGCAGCAGUGGGGAAUAUUGCACAAUGGGGGAAACCCUGAUGCAGCCAUGCCGCGUGUGUGAAGAAGGCCUUCGGGUUGUAAAGCACUUUCAGCGAGGAGGAAAGGGUGUAAGUUAAUACCUUACAUCUGUGACGUUACUCGCAGAAGAAGCACCGGCUAACUCCGUGCCAGCAGCCGCGGUAAUACGGAGGGUGCGAGCGUUAAUCGGAAUUACUGGGCGUAAAGCGUGCGCAGGCGGUUUGUUAAGCGAGAUGUGAAAGCCCCGGGCUCAACCUGGGAACCGCAUUUCGAACUGGCAAACUAGAGUCUUGUAGAGGGGGGUAGAAUUCCAGGUGUAGCGGUGAAAUGCGUAGAGAUCUGGAGGAGUACCGGUGGCGAAGGCGGCCCCCUGGACACACACUGACGCUCAGGCACGAAAGCGUGUGGGAGCAAGCAGGAUCAGAUACCCCCGUAGUUCCACCCCCAUAAACUAUGUCUACUCUCGAGUG